GGAGGGAUGGCCGAGUGGUCGAAGGCGGCGGUCUUGAAAACCGCUGAGGUGCAAGCCUCCGUGGGUUCGAAUCCCACUCCCUCCGCCA
Molecule: transfer RNA, 88 nt
Filed under: Holophagae bacterium
Lineage: Bacteria; Pseudomonadati; Acidobacteriota; Holophagae
Description: tRNA-Ser
Rfam family: tRNA
About the family: Transfer RNA (tRNA) molecules are approximately 80 nucleotides in length.
Source: RNAcentral